ACCAGACUCCUACGGGAGGCAGCAGUGGGGAAUAUUGCACAAUGGGGGGAACCCUGAUGCAGCGACGCCGCGUGGGUGAAGAAGCGCCUCGGCGCGUAAAGCCCUGUCAGCAGGGAAGAAAAUGACGGUACCUGAAGAAGAAGCCCCGGCUAACUACGUGCCAGCAGCCGCGGUAAUACGUAGGGGGCAAGCGUUAUCCGGAUUUACUGGGUGUAAAGGGGGCGCAGACGGCGAUGCAAGCCAGGAGUGAAAGCCCGGGGCCCAACCCCGGGACUGCUCUUGGAACUGCGUGGCUGGAGUGCAGGAGGGGCAGGCGGAAUUCCUGGUGUAGCGGUGAAAUGCGUAGAUAUCAGGAGGAACACCGGUGGCGAAGGCGGCCUGCUGGACUGCAACUGACGUUGAGGCCCGAAAGCGUGGGGAGCAAACAGGAUUAGAUACCCUCGUAC
Molecule: ribosomal RNA, 446 nt
Filed under: uncultured bacterium
Lineage: Bacteria
Description: bacterial SSU rRNA
Rfam family: Bacterial small subunit ribosomal RNA
Source: RNAcentral